Molecule: ribosomal RNA, 504 nt
Filed under: uncultured bacterium
Lineage: Bacteria
Description: bacterial SSU rRNA
Rfam family: Bacterial small subunit ribosomal RNA
Source: RNAcentral
UCAGGAUGAACGCUAGCGACAGGCUAACACAUGCAAGUCGAGGGGCAGCAUAAAAGUAGCAAUACUUCGGUGGCGACCGGCGCACGGGUGAGUAACGCGUAUGCAACCUACCUAUCAGAGGGGAAUAACCCGGCGAAAGUCGGACUAAUACCGCAUAAAACAGGGGCACCGCAUGGUGAUAUUUGUUAAAGAAAUUCGCUGAUAGAUGGGCAUGCGUUCCAUUAGGUAGUUGGUGAGGUAACGGCUCACCAAGCCGACGAUGGAUAGGGGAACUGAGAGGUUGGUCCCCCACACUGGUACUGAGACACGGACCAGACUCCUACGGGAGGCAGCAGUGAGGAAUAUUGGUCAAUGGGCGGGAGCCUGAACCAGCCAAGUCGCGGUGAAAAGGAAGAAGGAUCUAUGGUUCGUAAACUUCUUUUGCAGGGGAAUAAAGUGCAGGACGUGUCCUGUUUUGUAUGUACCCUGAGAAUAAGGAUCGGCUAACUCCGUGCCAGCAGCCGC